Long non-coding RNA from Papaver somniferum (opium poppy), 1454 nucleotides. RefSeq lists it as uncharacterized. The record is from RefSeq and is a predicted model, not a curated record. The transcript has 4 exons. NCBI's taxonomy places the organism in Eukaryota, Viridiplantae, Streptophyta, Magnoliopsida, Ranunculales, Papaveraceae.
UAAAGGCCUUUCAUUGGGUUUUCAUUCUUAAUUUCAUUCCGAUUAACAUCUCAUCAUGUUAUUGAGUAAUCUUUUCCAUCCCAUAAUGUAUCAUAAUUUCUUGAUGUCUUUCUAUUGUCUCUUCAAUAACAGAAGGUUUCCCAAACCAUAUUGAAUUUAGCCUGCUAAUCAGGAAAAAAAACGCUCAUCCUUGCAUUAAUUAAUUCCUCUAUAUAAAAUGGCUAAUCCCAUCAGCAUCAGAUCCUUCCAAUGUCAUUUACUUUCUAUACUGUUAUUAUUUUUCGGUUCAUUCAUCAAAGGUUGCUAAACUUUUGGUUUCCAAAUCCUAUGAGAAGUUUGUGUUGUGGUUUUUGGACUGCCCUUCCUAAUAUUAAUUUUCCACAAUUUUGUUAAAAACGUUCAUUUGGUCUGUAAUGUAUCUCCGAUGUUUGCAACGUGUUUCUGAUAAAUUUUCUUUUCCAAUUUUCAAAUUCGGCCUAAAGAGGUAAUGACGCAAUUCACACACACCUCGAGACUUCUUCUUACAUCUCCAAGCAAGCAAACAAAAGAUCAAAACGAUGGCAAACCAGAUCAGAUGCAAUUUGACUGGAAAAGAUAUCUCUUCUUAUUCCAUGCUGGACAGCAAGCUCGGAUCGCCUACUGACCAGGAUGGAACCCUAAGAAAUCUCUUUGGACUUGCUAGAAUAUACCAUUAGAACCAGCACAAGCCAUAGACAGAGGCUGUGAAGCAGGCCAUUGCAAAAACCAACAUUAAGAUAAAUGAUGAUCAAGCUAAAUUGAUGUGUGUGGGUUCGUUGCAAUUCUCUUCACUCAAAAGAGAAAAUGUUGGAUGGAAAAGGAAACCUAUUCUUUUUGAAAGAAUUCAUGUAAAACAAGAUUGCUGCCAUACACAUCUUGGGUGCACAACACGAGACUCAGGAACUGAAGAACAGAUUGAUUUCUGCUGAAAUUGAGGUUUGUGCCUUUGGUGCACAACACGAGACUCACGAGCUGAAGAACAGAUUGAUUUCUUCCGAAAAAUUGAGGUUUGUGCCUUAAAGUCCAAGGCUAGGCAAGAUUGUUGUCAUAGAGAACUUGGGUGCAGAAUGUAGCAUAGCACGAAAAAGACAAGCUGAGGAACAUAGUGGGUUCUACUGAAAUUUAGGUUUCGGCCUUUACGGCCAAGGCUAAGCAUCAAGACACAUGAUAGAAAGGUAAAAUCCUUUGCUUGCAUUUUGCAUUUAUUUACUUUUUGUAAGAUUUUCCUAGGUGAAACUUAUUGAAUACAACAUCUCAUUCAUUGAAAGAUGAUAAGUUGACUUAUAAUGAUUGCCAAUCGUUGUUCAUUGUCCUUGAUGGAUUAGCUAUAUAUUAUAAAGAUGAUAAUUUAGUAGGUUACCGAGCACUGCAUCUAUGACGAAAAAUCAGUCAUCGGCUCAUAUACUAAUUGGGAUUGAACCAUGGUCUAAAAUAUG